AUCCCGCCAUGCCUUUUGGCUAAGAUCAAGUGUGGUAUCUGUUCUUAUCAGUUUAAUAUCUGAUAUGUCCCUUAUCUAGGGACCAUAUAUUAAAUUGGUUUUUGGAACAGGGAGAUGGAAUAGAGGCAUUAUUUGUUUUAAAGUUGGCAGUGAAAAUCUAGUUGCACAAUUCAUUGGGUCAGCAGCUUCG
Small nuclear RNA from Amblyraja radiata (thorny skate), 190 nucleotides. RefSeq annotates it as U2 spliceosomal RNA. Lineage: Eukaryota; Metazoa; Chordata; Chondrichthyes; Rajiformes; Rajidae. The transcript has a single exon. The record is from RefSeq and is a predicted model, not a curated record.